This 698-nucleotide ribosomal RNA is filed under the name Halomonas sp. A10. RNAcentral describes it as "bacterial SSU rRNA". It matches the Rfam family "Bacterial small subunit ribosomal RNA", at positions 109 to 789 of the family's 1533-position model. Lineage: Bacteria; Pseudomonadati; Pseudomonadota; Gammaproteobacteria; Oceanospirillales; Halomonadaceae. The record is from RNAcentral.
AGUAACACGUGGGCAACCUGCCCUGCAGACUGGGAUAACUCCGGGAAACCGGAGCUAAUACCGGGUAAUACAUCGCACCGCAUGGUGCAAUGUUGAAAGUUGGCUUUCUGAGCUAACACUGCAGGAUGGGCCCGCGGCGCAUUAGCUAGUUGGUAAGGUAAUGGCUUACCAAGGCGACGAUGCGUAGCCGACCUGAGAGGGUGAUCGGCCACACUGGGACUGAGACACGGCCCAGACUCCUACGGGAGGCAGCAGUAGGGAAUCUUCCGCAAUGGACGAAAGUCUGACGGAGCAACGCCGCGUGAGUGACGAAGGCCUUCGGGUCGUAAAGCUCUGUUGUUAGGGAAGAACAAGUACCGUUCGAAUAGGGCGGUACCUUGACGGUACCUAACCAGAAAGCCACGGCUAACUACGUGCCAGCAGCCGCGGUAAUACGUAGGUGGCAAGCGUUGUCCGGAAUUAUUGGGCGUAAAGCGCGCGCAGGCGGUCUUUUAAGUCUGAUGUGAAAGCCCACGGCUCAACCGUGGAGGGUCAUUGGAAACUGGAGGACUUGAGUGCAGAAGAGGAGAGUGGAAUUCCACGUGUAGCGGUGAAAUGCGUAGAUAUGUGGAGGAACACCAGUGGCGAAGGCGGCUCUCUGGUCUGUAACUGACGCUGAGGCGCGAAAGCGUGGGGAGCAAACAGGAUUAGAUACCCUG